This is a long non-coding RNA of Passer domesticus (house sparrow), 308 nucleotides long. RefSeq lists it as uncharacterized. The record is from RefSeq and is a predicted model, not a curated record. Lineage: Eukaryota; Metazoa; Chordata; Aves; Passeriformes; Passeridae. The transcript is spliced from 3 exons.
GCGUGGCCAGGACAGCUGACGUGAACUGCAAAGGGAUAUUCCAUACCGUGGAAUAUUGAGCCCAGUAUAUAAACUAGGGGGAGCUGGCUGGGAGCUGCUGAUCACUGCUGAGGGGUGGAAUGAGCAUUGGCCAGUGGUGUCUUCCAGACAGAGCAGACAAAUUUUCUCUCUCCUACAUCUUUGGCUUUGCUGCAUCCAUGGUGUGAGGUUAUCCAGGAAAACAAGAGAUUUGCCUGUGAAGAGUCUCGACACAGCUUGGCACUGAUUGGCCCAUGAGUGAAAACAACUCACAGCAGAAUCCAGUAAGG